This 1088-nucleotide ribosomal RNA is filed under the name Salmonella enterica subsp. enterica serovar Enteritidis. RNAcentral describes it as "partial 23S ribosomal RNA". It matches the Rfam family "Bacterial large subunit ribosomal RNA", at positions 99 to 1230 of the family's 2925-position model. Lineage: Bacteria; Pseudomonadati; Pseudomonadota; Gammaproteobacteria; Enterobacterales; Enterobacteriaceae. The record is from RNAcentral.
UAUAACCGGCGAUACCCGAAUGGGGAAACCCAGUGUGACUCGUCACACUAUCAUUAACUGAAUCCAUAGGUUAAUGAGGCGAACCGGGGGAACUGAAACAUCUAAGUACCCCGAGGAAAAGAAAUCAACCGAGAUUCCCCCAGUAGCGGCGAGCGAACGGGGAGGAGCCCAGAGCCUGAAUCAGCAUGUGUGUUAGUGGAAGCGUCUGGAAAGGCGCGCGAUACAGGGUGACAGCCCCGUACACAAAAGCGCAUGUGCUGUGAGCUCGAUGAGUAGGGCGGGACACGUGGUAUCCUGUCUGAAUAUGGGGGGACCAUCCUCCAAGGCUAAAUACUCCUGACUGACCGAUAGUGAACCAGUACCGUGAGGGAAAGGCGAAAAGAACCCCGGCGAGGGGAGUGAAAAAGAACCUGAAACCGUGUACGUACAAGCAGUGGGAGCACCCUUUGGGUGUGACUGCGUACCUUUUGUAUAAUGGGUCAGCGACUUAUAUUCUGUAGCAAGGUUAACCGAAUAGGGGAGCCGGAGGGAAACCGAGUCUUAACCGGGCGUUAAGUUGCAGGGUAUAGACCCGAAACCCGGUGAUCUAGCCAUGGGCAGGUUGAAGGUUGGGUAACACUAACUGGAGGACCGAACCGACUAAUGUUGAAAAAUUAGCGGAUGACCUGUGGCUGGGGGUGAAAGGCCAAUCAAACCGGGAGAUAGCUGGUUCUCCCCGAAAGCUAUUUAGGUAGCGCCUCGUGAAUUCAUCUCCGGGGGUAGAGCACUGUUUCGGCUAGGGGGCCAUCCCGGCUUACCAACCCGAUGCAAACUGCGAAUACCGGAGAAUGUUAUCACGGGAGACACACGGCGGGUGCUAACGUCCGUCGUGAAGAGGGAAACAACCCAGACCGCCAGCUAAGGUCCCAAAGUCAUGGUUAAGUGGGAAACGAUGUGGGAAGGCCCAGACAGCCAGGAUGUUGGCUUAGAAGCAGCCAUCAUUUAAAGAAAGCGUAAUAGCUCACUGGUCGAGUCGGCCUGCGCGGAAGAUGUAACGGGGCUAAACCAUGCACCGAAGCUGCGGCAGCGACACUGUGUGUUGUUGGGUA